AGAGUUAAACAGUACGUGAAAUUGUUGAAAGGGAAACGAUUGAAGUCAGUCAUACCAACGGGAAAUCAACCUCUUGAGUUUGGUCUUGUGGGUUUCGAAGAGUUUAAAAGCCUUCGGAUUUGCGAGGAUUGGGCUCUUUUGGUGUACUUUCUCGUACGGUUAGUCAACAUCGGUUUUGAAUGUCAUAAAAUGACUGGAGGAAUGUGGCUUCGAUCUCGUAUUGAAGUGUUAUAGCCUUUGGUAGAUGUGAUGUUCGAGACCGAGGAUUGCAAUGGAUACCCUUCUGGGCUAUUCGUCUGAUCUCUGAUACGUUGCCUUGAUGUCGAAAGCUCGCUUAUGAUGUUAGGGUAUUACGGUCAAAAGGUUAGAACGGAUUAAAUUCGUUAAGGAUGUUGACGUAAUGACUUUAAACGACC
RNAcentral lists this non-coding RNA (416 nucleotides) under uncultured fungus. The record is from RNAcentral. RNAcentral also lists the same sequence under 1 other name. Lineage: Eukaryota; Fungi.